This 654-nucleotide ribosomal RNA is filed under the name uncultured archaeon. RNAcentral's name for it is "bacterial SSU rRNA". It matches the Rfam family "Archaeal small subunit ribosomal RNA", at positions 508 to 1160 of the family's 1478-position model. The record is from RNAcentral.
GCCUAAAGCGUCCGUAGCCUGUUCUAUAAGUUUCCGGUUAAAUCCAUUAGCUCAACUAAUGGGCCGCCGAAAAUACUGUAGAACUAGGGAGUGGGAGAGGUAGACGGUAUUCGGUAGGAAGGGGUAAAAUCCUUUGAUCUAUUGAGGACCACCUGUGGCGAAGGCGGUCUACCAGAACACGUUCGACGGUGAGGGAUGAAAGCUGGGGGAGCAAACCGGAUUAGAUACCCGGGUAGUCCCAGCUGUAAACGAUGCAGACUCGGUGAUGCGCUGGCUUGUGGCCAGUGCAGUGCCGCAGGGAAGCCGUUAAGUUUGCCGCCUGGGAAGUACGUACGCAAGUAUGAAACUUAAAGGAAUUGGCGGGGGAGCGCCACAAGGGGUGAAGCCUGCGGUUCAAUUGGAGUCAACGCCAGAAAUCUUACCCGGAGAGACAGCAGAAUGAAGGUCAAGCUGAAGACUUUACCAGACAAGCUGAGAGGUGGUGCAUGGCCGUCGCCAGCUCGUGCCGUGAGAUGUCCUGUUAAGUCAGGUAACGAGCGAGAUCCUUGCCUCUAGUUGCCACCAUUACUCUCAGGAGUAGUGGGGCGAAUUAGCGGGACCGCCGUAGUUAAUACGGAGGAAGGAAGGGGCCACGGCAGGUCAGUAUGCCCCGAA